RNAcentral lists this unclassified non-coding RNA (1093 nucleotides) under Hevea brasiliensis (rubber tree). Lineage: Eukaryota; Viridiplantae; Streptophyta; Magnoliopsida; Malpighiales; Euphorbiaceae. The record is from RNAcentral.
AUUAUUAUUAUUAUUAUUAUUAAAGAGUAAGCUUGUUAGUGUUAAAAUAUAUUUAAUUUAAAAAAAAUGAGGGGAGACAGGCUCCAGUUUUAUACCCCUAAAUCUAGAUUCAUGAAUUAAAAGUUACAGUAUACUUAAUAAAAAAAAAAAAAUUGGAAAGAGGGAGGGUUUGUGGCUGAUCACCACCACUACUGCUUCCGUCUUGCCUUCACAACUAACAUCAUGUGCCAUUGCUGCCGUAGUGCUAUCGCCUCCAUCAGUAUUGCUAUGAUUAACUGAAUUUGAGGCAAUCUGAUACAAGCAAUAGAACUUUGUAGGUUCUAGUGUAUAGCACAGUAUACCUUCACCAUUUGAUUUCAAGUUGUUGAACCAUGCAUGAUUACUUCUCUUUCUUAUGCGAAUACCUGUAAACUGAACCACUGAAGGUGAAACAUCAUGUUGCAACUUGGUUUGCAGCUAAGCAUAUGCAUUGAGUAGCGACUAGGUGGCAAAAACUUUUCAAUUAGUUGUUUGGUUCAUAUUUUCAUUGGCAAAUUAUGAGACACCAUUGUAUGAUCAUUCAUCAACAGAUGUUGUUUCCCAUAUUGGGUAAACAUACAAGCCUCCAGCAAUAUAAGUGGGAAUAGUGACACUUGAAAUAAUAUUGUUUUGUUAAGGAAGAGUUUGAAAAGCAGGUUCACGAAGACCAUAAAUAUCUACUGGAGGACAGCAACUAAAGCAAUAGUAUAUAUAUAUAACAUAACAUGACUCAAGGAUGCCUGAAGCUGGCAUACAAAUUUGUCAGAGUUCAUUGACAAGUAAUUUUAGUUUCUUAUCAAUUAAUUAUACAAUGCUGAAACUGCAACAUCUCUUUUCUUGAUUGUCCUUAGGGUAUUGUUUAUGGUGCCUUCUCUUCCAAUUUUUAUCAUUUAUCUGUCCUGUUGCAUUCAUGCUUUGAUUAAUUCGCCUCAUAAUUCUUUAGUAAUUUGGUUCAUGAAACUAAUAGAGUUCUAGCUGGAUGAUGAAUUGCUUUAGGUUUUCUGGCUCUGAUAUUAUAUUUUCUGGACUCAUGAAAUAUUUUUAGUAGCAGGUCCAGCACAUGAUGGUUCCUAUG